UUUAUUUUGCAGGAAACGUGAAAACAAUGAAUUGUGACAGCUUUAUAUUUAAUGCGAAAAGUCAAAUAACAUGAAACGCGAUAUCGCAAAACCUGUUGGAUUAAUAGGGUGACUUAAACAGUCUAAACUGACAACUUUGCAGACCUGCAAUAUUCAGACACCUACAACUACCUGCUCAACUUUCUUUCUUCCUGCUAUGGAGGGUUUACAAGGCUACACAAUCCUGGAGGGCUAGAAAUGGAUGAAAUCUGCAUUUAGACCUGGACCUGGGUUCAUCUUUGGAAUCUACUGGCUAAAAAUGACUUUGUCCUCAGUGGAAGGGCACAGUGGCCAUUUGAUGGUAGACUUUUUGGCAGAGCUGGAAAUGUGGAAAGUCUAGAAAGUGUGGAGGAUGCCAUUUCCUGUGGGAGGUCGAGGUGGCGAGGAGCUCAGUUCCAGCCAGCCAGACUCGACCAAUCUGUAAAACAGCCAUGACAGCGGGUCCCGUCAUUACAGGACAAGCUCCACCCUUGUGAAACGUCCUGACAAUAAAGAAGACAAUGAAGAAAAUUGAUGACACAGCUGCAUUUAAAAAAAAAAAAUAUCUGUCCAAAUUAUAAAAGGAAGCCUAGAGAUUCAUUCUCUGAGCUGUAUACUCACUGCCUUCCAUUUUCUUCAUCUUAGUGGCUUGAGUAUUGAGCUCAUAGCAAUUUAUUUUUGAUUUAAAAGAAGAAGUAAAUCUCCCGAGAUUCUCAACAGACUCAUUUUUGAAGGUCAGUCUAAACAUAAUUCUAAAAUGUGGAGGGAAAAAAACAAAGGAGAUAAGAAAGUAAUUUAGAAAAAAAUACUUCCUUUUAGGCUCCUCGUGGACUUCCAGAGAAUACUAGCGCUCCUCAGUUGUUUCUGUGUAUUGCAGUUAAUGACGGCAAGGGAAUCAUUAAAAUCAUUAAAAUUGUGCUACCGAAAGGUCAUUUGUUGGAUCCCCAUAGUAACAGCCAGUGUUUGUCCAUCACAGGCUAAGUGUCUUGUUGCAGAGCCCUAGAGUACGAUGCUAAAAUGCUACCCAUUGUAAGCCUCUCUACAUAAGAGCACAGACUAAAUGCCAGAAAUGUAAAUGCUUUGUAGGAAGCAGUUGUAUGGGAUUCCUGGGACAUAUAAACUUGAGUGGUGAAACAUCUCUCAAAAGGUCACUGACUUGGUUUGAGCAGCUACAAGUGUUGUAUUCUUGUAAAUUGACUCAGAGGUAAACAUUCUCAUGCAGCCAGCGGUUUUAUGAUUUGAUUAUAGUUACUCUCAUUGCACUCUGAAAAACUCAUUAGGACGCUCUUUCGGCAUCACAACGGUUAAAUUAUCUCGCAGGCUGCAAACUCAGUAAAUUGGCAGAAUGUGCUGUAAGAUAAUCAAACUGAAAUUACAUUUCAAUCUAGCAGCAGCAGAGUGAUUCCAUGCAUGACCGAACCUCCAGACAAGGUCAAACAGAUGAACAUACAGUAUGUGAAUAUAUGUGAAACACAAGCAGCUGAGCAUGCCAUGAGUAGGAUUUA
This is a long non-coding RNA of Centropristis striata (black sea bass), 1523 nucleotides long. RefSeq lists it as uncharacterized. The record is from RefSeq and is a predicted model, not a curated record. The transcript has 3 exons. NCBI's taxonomy places the organism in Eukaryota, Metazoa, Chordata, Actinopteri, Perciformes, Serranidae.